Molecule: long non-coding RNA, 2160 nt
Filed under: Panax ginseng (ginseng)
Lineage: Eukaryota; Viridiplantae; Streptophyta; Magnoliopsida; Apiales; Araliaceae
Description: long non-coding RNA (PGIN_LNC001313)
Source: RNAcentral
UUGAGGUUGAUUUCAUUGCCUCUGUGUCUGUCAGUGAUAUUUAUUAGUUUAGCCAUAUUAUCGAUUGCAAUGCUAAUUCCUUUCGGUUUCAUCCUCCAGAUUGUAUAUAGAAUAUUAACAUUUACUUCCCUUUUAUGUGCUGGCAAUUAUUGUUUGUGUCACAGAGUUUAAUACUUUUAGUAGACUCAUAUAAAUAAAGAAAAUUCAAUUAUUUUGUUUAGUAGUCUACUGGUUUUAGAGCAUACUUAGACAUUGGAUGUUUUGUGGUCAUAUUCUCUUAUCCUAACAUUGUAAUCAUCUGGUUGAACAAAAUGCAUAAACUGUUUACAUCAAGAAGUCACAAGCUCACAACCAACACAAUCAAAUUCAUAAACUGUGGCAAAGCUUUAGCUCACAGUCAUGUACAUUACACCAUCACAUGUAUAUUACACCAUAAAGGCAAAUCGGCCAUAAACUGUUUACAUCAAGAAGCUAUAAACUGUUUACAUAUGGCAAAACUGUUUACAUAUGGCAAAACUGUUUACAUCAAGCAACCAUAAAAAGGUUUAGCAUCAGAAAAGGAUUAGCUUUCAGCUCAGUUUUGGCUUUCAGCUCCAUGCAGGUGCCAAUUUCAAGCAUCUUCAACAUCAGAAAAGGAUUAGUUUUUAUUACUUCAGUUGGUGUACUACAACAAACCAAACAAGUAAAUUGUCACUAUAAAGGAAAGAUGAGAUUUUAGACAGUAACCAUAUUCAUAUUAGCCUCAUCCCCAUCAGUUUCUGCAUAACAAUGUGGGAAACAUGCUGGAAUGGCUUUGUGCCCAAAGAAGCACACAAAACUUAUUUUUUAUGAGCUCCCAAGUUCAUAGUAAACAGAUUUUAAAAUGAACAAGCUUCGUCAGCAAUGUCAAAUCUAUGGCAAUGGAUGUAUAACUAUUUCCACUCAUCAUCAAUCAGGUGAUACAGAACAUGAAAAAAAUUUAGGAACGUAUUGAAAAAAUAAGAAUACGUCACGUGUGUGGGUCUACAUAUACAUAUAUAUACCUAUGUACAUAAUAUAAGUAUUUGAUAUACAAAUCAGAAGCAAUACCUGCACGCCUUUGACUUGCAUCUGUUGUAUGAGUUCAGUAAAAACACCUGGAAUACAACCCAAAAAUAGCAACAAGUACCAACUUUUAAGGCAAUUAACAUAGGAUGCAUGCAUAUAAAUAGAUUACAAAUACAGUCGAUAAAUGGGUAGAAAUAUAAAGCAAGUAUAAGAACUAAAUGGAAGUAAGAAACAAGUUUAGUAUGAUAUACUCCUCUAUGAAACACUAAGAAACAUUUUGUCCACCCCAAGUUCCUUUUGGCUGCCUCACUGGAUGUCAAUACAGAUAAAGAGUUUAUUUUCAGGGAGAAUAAUAAAAAGCCAAAUUUUUGCUUCUACAAGUUAUACGAUGAAAUUCAUGUAAUAAAAAAACUAGUUUACUCAUUACCGUCACUGCAAUGGGGAAUCAGUUAGGCAAAGUAUGUUAAAAGAUCUGUGUCUAGCUAGAAGUUAACUUCUCAAGUUUUUCAUUCACAAAAUUGGCAAGGGGUUAUCUUGUCUGACUGGAUGUCAACACAAAUUGGCAAGGGAUUAUGUCAACACAAAAAUUAAGAGAUACUUACCAAUUUCCACUCGUCAUCAAUCACAGGAACAAAAAAUAACAAAAAAAUAAGAAACAAAACAGAACAAAAAAAUAAGAAACCAUCCCUUUUAGAAGUUUAGAAACAGAGAUGUAACAAAACCCCUUCCUAAACUCCAAACAAAGAUGAAAUAUAUAAUUUUCAAAUCGGAAAAGGAAAAGAAGUCAUCCAACUCGAAGCCCUUACCGAAUCGAAGUGUGGAACCAGCAAAAUCGGAGGGAUUGAGGGGGAUCGAACUGCUUGCUUCCGAUUCUAGGGCACGGCGAGCUUUGUAGGGCUUCAAUUAUAGGGCUUUUCCUUUCUGAAGCUCGGAAUUAUCGAAGGAACUCUGGGCGACUCUAAGUCGUGAAACAGAAACCAAUCGACUGAGUUUCUCUCUUGCAGCAAUCGCAUUUCUCGCGUUUCUGGAGGGAAGGGCUUCGCUUUCUCUCUCUUCGAAUGUUGCAACAAUGGAUUUCAAGGGAAUUGAUUUGGGCAGUGAGGAGUUUUCUAGCGAGAGCUCAGUUUCUUUGGU